This 14225-nucleotide long non-coding RNA is filed under the name Olea europaea (common olive). RNAcentral's name for it is "long non-coding RNA (OEUR_LNC014858)". Lineage: Eukaryota; Viridiplantae; Streptophyta; Magnoliopsida; Lamiales; Oleaceae. The record is from RNAcentral.
AGCCGUGAUAUUGUGUUUUAUAAGCAUUGAAACACUCGUGUUUUUGGUUUUCCUUUUGGAAACAUAGGGAUCUUCAAAGCUUUCAAGCUCAGCAGAAUGAAUUACAAUUUUAAGAUAAGAGGCAAAUUUCAUCUUUUCUGCAACCUGUUCUUUGCUUAAUGCUACAGUUUUAACAUAUAUCGCGUGGAUCGAUGAUGCAUGUAUGAUAUUAAACUGAUGAGAACAGGUUGUUGCACAUAUUGUUGAUGUACACAAUAAGUUCUAUUUGUAGUGAAAAUUUACACCUGACAGAAGUGGACAAGUCGAUUAUUGAAAGAAUGCAAAGUGUACCUUGGGUUCCUGUAAUUACACUAUUGAAAUAACUUCAGGUAAAUUUUUCUCUUUCUUCAAUCUGACAUAGUUCCAAUUUGACUCUUAGCCUAUAUUUGGUGGGGAUUAAAAUAAGAUUUUUAGUAGAUUUUGAUAGAAAUUGAUGAAAUGUGUGGUUGAAAAGUUGUUAGAUCAAUCAAAUAUGUGGUUAAAAUGAAUUGUGCUUUGACUUUGGAGAUCUUAAUUGGUACCAAUCCGGUUUGCUUAAUUACUGGGCUACUUCUAAAUGUCUGGCUUUCAAACUGCUGGCAUUGAAGGCUAAGAAUCCUUAGGAAUCAUCGGUUGAGGUAAUGUAGGUAUGGCUUGUGGCAUAGUUUGCAAUAGGUUUUGGUUCUUGCCAGCGCGCUAAUGUACAAGCUCGAAAAUGACAGCUGCAAACAAUUGUAAUAAAGGUGGCCAUUUGUUCGGCUACAGAAAAUGUACCAUAACUUUGUCAAGCCCUUUUGAACCUGCUGAGGUUCACAUUGUCACCAGUUCGGAAUAGCUUAUAAAGAAUUGAGUAGCAUGUUUGGUUAGAGAUUUGUUACAUGUGCACUUUAGUGUACAGCCCCUGGGGGGGGGGGGGGGGGGGUGCAAAUUUUUUAAUCACUGUGAGCCCCCUCUUAUGUGAGGGGGUGGUACACUAGAGUGUACACUGUUGGAAUCUCCCGUUUAGUUACAUGCUUGUAAGAUAUGUGCUUUUUUUACGAAUUAAAGUUAAUAUUUACUUUCUUUAAAAAUAAAUUUUGUUUUUAUUAAGUAAAUGUGAGCCUUAAAAAUGAAAAGUGAGUUUGAUAUAUACAUAUAUAUAUAUUUUUAAAUUUAAAUCCACUCAAGUGGCUCGUUCUAAUAAAAAUUAAAUAAAAAUUACGAACUUAGGAGGAUGCUAGGCCUGACUUCCAAUUAAUAAAUCGAUCUUAUUCCAUCUGUAUAAAAUGGGGGAGGGAAGGGGAAUGCAAUGUUAUAUAAGCAUAAAAUUAUAAAACUAGGACUAGAAUUCAUAUGAUCGCAUUUUGGAUACUUUUGUCAUUUUGAUUUAUGUUAACUCCAUUCCUCCAACCAAUUUGAUACACGUAAUUACUGAAUGACACUGUUCAGGGGUACCAAAUUAAGUGAAUUAUAAUUAUCGUUAAAAAAUGGAACCCAAACAAAUGCUAAGAAUGAGGACGAGAAGCUUCUUACUCACAAUAAAUAUUGAUGGGGAGGAAUCGACGAGUCAAGCAAAAGAGCGUGACUCUAUGAUUUUAUUGUUUGUUCCGUAGAUAUAUUUAUUAUACAAUAAAUUGAGAAAAAGAAGUUGGAUUUUUAUUCAUUCCUGCUUGAUAACAGGCAAUCGACACAGGAAUAGAAUUGACGACAAACAAUAUAAAGAGAUUAGGAUCAUUGCUGAAUCCAAACCCAUUGAAUAAGUCAAACCGUGCAAGUUUCCAACUGAUAUAAUUUGUUCAAAAUGGAAUGGCCGUAAAGCCUUUAUUAUCUGAGAGAAGCUGCAUGUACAGAAGCUCUUUCUACAGAAGUUGGUUAGAUAACACACAAAAUAGCGUGGAUGGGUGAUUUUUUGACAUUAUUUUAUCAUCCACAUGGGGCCCACCAUGUGAGUGAUUUGGUGGAGUUCUGUGGCCACCAUUCUGUACAAAGGAAGUUUCUCUUAUUAUCUAUAUAUAAUUUUGAAUUUAAACCUACUUUCCAAUGAAUAUAGACAAACAUCAACAAAUUACCAAGCUAGCAAUAACCUUACGGCCCUGCUACAUGUACCCCGAGCCUUACAGCUUGAUGUACAGCCCCUUUACAUGGGACGUGGGGUCCACGCAUUAAAUGGGCGUGAGCCUCUACCCUCAUGUGAGGGGAGUGUAAGGCUCGGUGUAUAAGGGACAUUAUUCAUAACCUUAUUCUUUGCGAGUGUGUGCAAUUUUCUAGCUCUUUAUACUUGGAUAUGAUUAUUUACAAAUAAGUCUUCAUAAACCUAAGCCUCCUUUGAAUGAACCAUGAAAAAUUCAUCAUAUCCCAAGUGAUGAACCUCUAGAAUUCUUUCACAUUCUAACGAUUCUGUACAAGUCUCUUAUCAUAUCCUUAUGCUUGACUUCUAUAUUUUUUUUAUUUUUUAUUUUUCCUUUCCCUAGAACGUUCACAUCCUCGUAAUGUCAACCUGCGUUUAGAGUCUUGUGCUGUCAACCUCCUCUUUCGUUCAUCGUAAUCCUUGGUUGCACCCCUAGCAUCAAAUCUUUGGAUAAACCCAACUUAUUUAAUUCUUCAAUAAUAUGUACCCAAGUCGUUAGAUUACAUACUGUCCGCUUUGGGUGGGCUUUGCGCCCACUUACCCCUCACGACUUUCUGUCGCGUCCCCCAAGAUUCAAACUCAUAAUAUUUAUCCCCCAUUUCAUAGGAUUACAAGGCACAAUUUUUAUAGUUGUUGAACUAGAACUAAUUGAUAUUUAUCCCCCAUAUCGUUUAGGUUGCGUUUGAUUGCCAAUAUUUUGUAUGAAAAAUGUGUUCUUUCCAUCCAAAUUCCUAUUUUGUGCCGUUUGAUUGUCAUUUUUUUUCGAUGGAAAAUAUUUUACACUUUUUGGUUACGUGACCAUAUUUUUCUCAAAAUCAAGAAAAUAUUUUCUUUAGGGUGAGUAAAAUUUUGUUUUCCGAGGAAUUCACCCUCUCUUUCCCUCUCUCAUCUACCCAUCAAUAAAAAACGGACAAAUAUAAUAUUUUUUAGGUUGAAAAAUAAAUCAAUCAAAUACAUUUAAAUGACAAUUUCUAUGCAAAUAAAUUCUAGACAAUUGAAUUACCAAGAAUUUAUUUUUGUCCAUGCUAAUUCCAUGAUUGCAAUCAAAUGCAAUCUUAGUUAAAAAUAAAAUUUUUAGUAGAUUUUGAUAAAUAUUGAAAUGUGUGGUUGAAAAUGAAUUUCAAAAAAUGAAUUUAAAAAAAAAUGGUUCUAAACAUGGACUUAAAUAUAAAUACUACAACCUUAAACUUCUAAACGUUUACAACUACUGUUUCAUCAAUAUCGUUUAAGAAAUUAGUUGAAACACAACAGUAUAUAACUACUGAUACCAACUGCUCGAUCAGCCACACUUUCUUCUUCCAGGUAUUUUUCUCUAUUUUAUGUUAUUACGUCUGUGCAAGAUUCUGUAUUUGCUGAGUCCACAAGUGCAUUCAGCGUACAGAUAUUUUCCUCGUACAUUAAUCUUUUUUAUUCAAUUUGUUUUAUAAUCUGAGACACUGUUGGUCAGCAGUCUCAUUUGUUGUUGUGAAAAUGGAGGCAAGACAAAGGUUUUUGGUUUUAGGAUAUCUUGCAAUGGCUUUUUCAUUGUUUUCGCAUGAAAUUUUAGUCAAAUUUGAUUCGAAAUGUGUCAUUGUUCAAAACUCAUAUGAAAUUUCAGUCAAAUUCGAUUUGCAACGCGCAAGCCAAAAAACCGCACGAAAUUUUAGUGAAAUUUGAUUCGAAAUGUGUCAUUGGACCAAACUCAUGUAAACUUUUAGUCAAAUUCGAUUUGGAACACGCCAACGAAAAAAUCUCGUGAAAUUUUAGUCAAAUUUGAUUCGAAAUAUGUCAUUGAACAAAACUCAUGUGAAAUUUCAGUCAAAUUCGAUUUGGAACGCGCCAUAGAAAAAAUCGCAUGAAAUUUUAGUCAAAUUUGAUUCGAAAUGUGUCAUUGGACCAAACUCAUGUAAAAUUUUAGCAAAAUUCAAUUGCAAACGCGCCAACGAAAAAAUCGCAUGAAAUUUUAGUCAAAUUUGAUUCGAAAUGUGUCAUUGAACAAACUCAUGUGAAAUUUUAGUUAAAUUCGAUUUGAAACACGCCAACGAAAAAGCCACGUGAAAUUUUAGGUAAAUUUGAUCGAAUUAGACUAACAACUCGCCAAAAACGAACCAACCCGAAGUUAUCAUGAAAUAAAAAAAAUAUUAUUUUGCCUUGCGACGAUCUCAUUUUACCAUAAACUCUAAUCCCUUAUGCACUUCAUCACAUGGAGGUUUUGCUAAUUAUUACAAAACCAUCUCUUUUUUUUCUCUCUCUCUCUCUUAAUCAUAAACUUUGCACUAAAUUAUUAAAUUAGAUUCCUGAUAUUGUUGAGUUAAUUUUGAUGCAUGGCAUAGUAAUAUGUAAAUAAUCACAGCCAUUCUUUAAAGUAUUCCUGUAUGUAUAAAAACCUGAAAAACGUUUCAAUUUGAUACUAAAAACAUCUAUGUAACAUGAUUAACGUUUUUAAUUUCAAUUAAUUUUCAAAGUCAUCACGUAUUGAUGUAGCAGUGUCAACUGACAUCAUUUACAGUUGAACAAAAUACCACUUGGACCCUGCUAUGUGUAUAGGCAGGUUUCAUACAGAAACCUAUCAGAAUACACACAUAGAGGGGUAGGUGGGGGUAUUUUUUGACAAUUUUUUAUUCACAAUGAAUCCCACACAUGAGAGUAAUUUGGUCAAACUCUGUCAAAAAUUUUAUGUACAAAUGGCAUUCUCCAUACCACUUUAGGCAUAUAUGAAUGACAUAUGGAAGUUAAUUUCUCUACCUACAAAGGAAAUUCACUGAAUAAAAAAGCUUUGAUUUUUAUAAUCACAUUUAAAAUUGAAUAAGUAUUUAAAUAAAUCCACAGAUAAUGCAAUUCUCUAUGAGUUCAUAUUAUUCUAGUAGUUGAUUUCCUUUUUCUUUCUUUAUCAACUGCUGACUUGUAAUUAAUAAUUAAUUUUCCAGAUGGAUUCCACAAAAGGGUGAUGAAGAACAGAGAUCGUCUUCUCCACUCGAACUCCAUAAAUGGGAGGAUCGUGUAAGCCUAAAUUACCCGCAUAAAAUACUCUCUGAUUUUUUAUUUUUUUUUCGAAAUACUUUAUGUUGUAAUCAUUGUAAAGAGUUUGAGGAUAUAUAUAUAUAUAAAAAUAUUGUGAGACCUACUUUCAACUAAUAUGUUGCUUUAAGAAAAGAUAACUAGAUAAGAGCUACUAAAUUCUAAAUGUGAUUACAAAAAAUUUAUGUACACUUGGGAGAUAAACACAAAUGGUAUCGGGAAAAAUCAACGGAAAUGAAAACUGAAAAUUGAGCUAGAUAGAGCAAGGACAAAAUUUACGUGAUUUUACAAAUUGCUGACAACUACAUGAGAAGAAGAUUUUAUUAAUUGAUAAAACCUCAUAAUACAAUAAUUUUUUUCAUUCUUUCAACUUCUCAGUACACAAAGUUAGAACACUCAAACGAACAAUGUGUAUAUUUUUUUCUUCCUUUUCCCUCUCACAAAUUACACCUUGACUGUAUGAGCAUUUUUUAUUAUUUUUUAUGAUGGGGGAACUCGCAAUCAUUACCCUUUGGGUGCGUAUUGAGUAAACUCUCGAACUGAUCCAAUAGCGUGCAAAUCACGCUAAUUAGGUAAACCUCACUAGACAAGCCCGGUGCGACAAUGGGGGUGGGUUUGGGUGCCCUACCACGUUACUAGUUUAAAGUGGGGCGGAGCCCUUGCCCCGUUUAAUUUAUUUUAUUUUAAUUCAUUUUAUUGUCCCCAUUUAUUAAAGUGAGGCAAAAAUAUAGUUAUUAAUUUUUUAAAUGUAUUUAUUUAUUUUUAAAAGUUAAAUUAUGGAAAUAUAUUUGGUAAAUUAAUGUUUUUAUUGUUUAUCAUAUUCCUUAGAUAAACUGAAUUACAAUCUUCUAUUAAAAUUAAUGAAAAUUCAUGGAGUUUUUCAUUUAAAAUAUUGAAUCUCUUUCUUUCUUUUCCUUUUUUUCCUUUUUUUUUUUUUUUAAAGUUAAACAAGGCGGGGCAUCUAUUACCUCAAGGUACAUUUGAAUGUCUUACAUGAGACUGAAGAUAUUCUCUACUGCAUGGAAUGACACCUUUUGCUCAUCCAUUCUUCCCACUUGUCUAGAUGCCGUGCAUUUUCUUAUUAUCAUCUAUUUCCCUUUCUUUCCUCCCUCACGCAUGAAGAUUUCGUAUGUAACUACGGUUACCGAUGAAUAGGUAGGAGUACGUUAAUGGCACGACCAGUCGCCCAAGCAAACAAUUCUCCUCCAAGAAGAAUUUUGCUAUGCCUCCGAUCCCCAUAGGGCAAAAGAGCUGCCUGGUGAUCUCUAGGUUGCAGAACGUCCGGUUCUUAGCUCCUCUAAUUGCAUUGACUAACUUUUUCCUAAUUGCAUUAGGAGUCCUAUUCAACUUAAUGUUUUUCCUUUUUCAUGCCAUAUGCUAGGUGCUAUUACUUGUUCAUUAAUUGCUCGUUGGUUUCUAAAAGUAAAUCCUAAUGCAAUUUGGUCCGUCUGCUUUUAAUCUUACUAAUUUGAGUCAGACCCAACAAGUGUGGGGUAGAAUUAUGUUUUAUUUCUAACAUUUUAACAUUUCUUUAAAAAAAAAAAAAAAAAGGAGAAAGAUCAGCGUAAAAAAUCGUUGUUAAAUUAGAUUACAAAAAUUAACAGAAUAUGGAUAUCAAUUAUGUAUUUAUAUCGAAAUUGACCAAAAGUAUUAUUUUGCAGGUGAUGUUGGACAAUGGCAUUGUUAAACUGACAUUACUAUCUCCAAGUGGUUACAUCGCAGGAAUACAAUACAAACAAACCAAGAAUGUACUUGAGUAUCAUUUUAAAGAAUCAAGAAGAGGGUGAGUUGCUUUGGAAAUUAAUACGAAACAGUUCAAGUAAAGCUAUCAAAAACAUAUAUUCAUUGGAAAUAUAUUCAUCAUGAAUCGCAGAACAAUUUAUAAAAUCCCCUUUUACUGAUAGUGAUUCAAAUGAAUUUAUUUAUGUAAUCGAAAAUGCUAUAUGAAAUUAUAUUUAUAUGUUUCAUCAUGUCUACUAUCAAUAAAAUUAUGCAGGAUCCAAGGAACCAGUUUCAGGGUUAUUGAAGAAACAGAAGAUAUGAUAGAAGUUUCAUUCAUGACAACUUGGAAUUCCUCUCUUAGCUACUCUUUUCCCUUGAAUGUCGACACAAGGUAGACUUUAAUUUAAUAAUAAAUAAAGCAUAUAAUCUCGUAAAUCACACUAGAAUUUGCCUACUAAAAAAGAUUUUUUUUACAGGUUUAUAAUGUUGCGUGGUGUUUCUGGUUUCUAUUCAUAUGCAAUAAUGGAACAUUUAGAGGGAUGGCCUGAUUUAAAUGUUGAUGAAGCAAGGAUUGCUUUUAACCUCCACCAAGAAAUGUAAGAUUCGAGAAUUAGUAACUUUACAAUUCGUUAAAUGUUCAGUCAUUUGUGAAGAAAACUUGCAUAUAUAAUUUAACUAUUUUGUAUAUGUAGGUUCCAUUACAUGGCCGUAUCAGACAGCAUACAAACACCUAUGCCAACAGCCUAUGAUCGUAUGGAAGGUCUAGUUCUUGAUUAUAAAGAAGCCGUUUUGUUGACAAAUCCUAGCAAUCCAGCCCUCAAAGGCAAGGUAGGUGUCUAACCAUUGAUCUCAUAACUUAAUAUUCUCGGUAUCCAUUAUAUGUUCUUUUAACUUAAAUGAUGCAUCAAGCCAGUGAAAAUAUAGAAGAUAAUAUGCAUAACUAUAACUGCACUACACUCGUUAUAUUUAAAGAUUUACGUAUGGUGAACUUUAUGUUAGAUAUUUUUCAUCAUUUUGCAUGUAUUUAUUUCUGUUUUGCGAAUGAUUUGCCGCCCCGACUAGUGUUUGCCGCUGCGCAACGGGGAUCGACCUGCCCGGUCAAGUCUCAGGGGUAAAGGGGGCUCGGGGGCAACACCCUCGAAAGAGAAUUUUAUUUCAGAAGUCUUAGAAUAUGUGCAUCUAUUCGUUUUUUAACAGUCACCUCCAGUAGAUGUAUGCAAGGAUUUCAAGGGACACACCUAUUCAAACGGUUACCUCAAUUUCUACAAAUUCUAGACGAAUUCUCGUUUGCAAAACACAUUAAACAAUUUAUUCUUCUUUCCUUCUUUUGGCAUCAAUCAGUUAUUUUCGAGUGUCUUCUUGGUUUGAUCAAAUAGUCACAAUUUGAAUCAAACGUCUCCAUUGUAUCCUGAGAGAGAUUUUCUAUUAUACCCCAAUUGUGACUUUGUUGAAUAGGGGAGAAACAUCUCUUAAAAGAUAACGUUUUUUCGUGCCUUGGAGUUCAUUAAAGUAUUCAGAUUUCCCUACAUUUUUUUCAACACUUUAUUGAUUAGGUCGAUGACAAGUAUCAAUUCUCAUAUGACAACAAGGAUAGCUUGGUGCACGGGUGGAUUAGCUCCCAUCCACAUAUAGGGUUUUGGGUGAUAACACCAAGCAACGAGUUUCGUGCUGGUGGCCCUGUGAAAAAUGAUCUUACAUCUCAUGCUGGCCCGACUUCUUUAGCAGUAAGUAAAUCUUAUUAUCUUGUAUAAAUCACUUUGUUUACAAAAUUUAUCUUCUUCUUUAGAAAAUCCAGGUUCACAUCAAUGAUUUAUUCCUAAAAAUUAAAGUCACACUUUCUCAUUCGCUAAUUCCUUUCAUCUAUAUGCAGCCUUUUUUUAGUGGUCAUUAUGCUGGUUCGAAUUUCGGGAUUAGAUUACGAAAUGGAGAGCCGUGGAAAAAGGUCUUUGGCCCAAUUUUUAUAUAUCUCAACUCAAGAAGUUGGGCAGAUGCUAAAAAACAGGUAAUUUUCGCGCCACAAAGUACAAUAAAGUUCUACCAAGUCACGCAUAAAUCAACUUUGUUAAUCCGUACUCCACCAGAUGCAAGAAGAAACCCAAAAAUGGCCUUACGACUUUCCAAGUUCAGAAGAUUUCCCUCAUGCCAAUCAACGGGGUACCGUUAGGGGUCGAUUAUUAGUCCGUGACAGGUAUCUUAAUCCACAUUUCAUGCCUGCAAAAUCAGCAUAUGUUGGGUUAGCUCCACCUGGAGAUGUCGGAUCUUGGCAAACAGAAACUAAGGUUAUAUUUGGUAAAAAUUUAAUAUCUAUCGUAAGAAUGUGAUUGUCACAUAGAUAUUAAAUUAUUAUUUAUUAAUAUCAUUAUCAAGGUUAUGAAUUUUGGAGUCAAACUGAUGAGCAUGGUUACUUCACAAUAAGAGGCGUUCGAGGAGGUACUUACAGUUUGAAUGCUUGGGUCCCAGGAGGGAUGGGUGACUAUAAAUAUGAAAAUGAUAUUUUCAUCAAAUCAGGUUUUAAUCUCAGUACCUAUAGAAUUUUACAUUUAAAAUGUUUUUCUAAGAAAAUCUUGCAUUCAAUUUAUAGAUAGAAAGAACAAACAUAUUUAACUCAAAAUCUGAUUUUUGGGACAGGGAGUCAAAUUCAACUAGGCAAUCUUGUAUAUAGUCCUCCAAGAAAUGGUCUGACCCUAUGGGAAAUUGGAAUUCCUGAUCGUACCCCUGCUGAGUUCUACGUCCCUGAUCCGGCACCCGAGUUCAAAAACGACCUAUUUAUCAACCCUACGGAUAAGUAAGCUCCCUAUAAAAUGAACACCGUUGUUGAGUUUAAUUUCAACAAGUUCUUGAUGAUUUUUAAUAAUAUAUUUUAUUAAAUUCAGGUAUAGACAAUAUGGAUUAUGGGAUACAGAUUUAUACCCUGAUCAAGAUUUAGUUUGCACUGUUGGCACCAGUGAUUACAGAAAAGAUUGGUUCUUUGCUCAUGUCAACGGGUAUUUACACACAAUUUGAUGGCCUUUUUCUUCUUAGAUUAAAAAUCUUGCAAAUUAAAUCCCAAUUAAUUUUGCAGGAGAACAAAUAGUACAUCAAGGUUUGAAGCAACCACAUGGCAAGUAUCAUUUGAUUUAAAAAAUAUCAGGAGGAAGAGAGGAACAUAUACAGUCCAUACAGCUAUAGCGUCUGCCACUUGUAAGGUGAAAUUACAGCAAUAAUCAAGGUGAUACCAGGCUCAGUUUCCACCAUAUAUCGACACAACCUCGAUUGAGACAACACCCAACUUCCACCUUCUUCCUUCCCACCUCCGGUUGCUAUAUAUAUACUCACAAAAAGUUGGCCAAAAUGAAGAACAAUGUAUAACCCAAGAGAAAUCACACAGGUUAUAUGAAAGAAAGAGGCCGAGAAUCAAAUUCACAGAAAGAGAUGGAGUGUUCUUCAUAAUGGAGGCAUAGGUGGAGCCGUAGGUUAUAAGCCAAAAUGAGUGACCAAAAAUGGUAAGUUAGGUUAGGUAAACUAAGUGGUCCAAACAAGGCUCAACACAAGGUAAUGGGCUCCAAAUGAAUACCAUAGCCCUCCAAAUAAAUGAGACGAACCAUGAGCAACGCUAUUAAAAUAGGUUACUUCUAACGGUUCAUAGAGAUGUGGGUUGGGUUGUCUCGAUGAUAGUGUCGACAUAUAAUUCAAUCAUAUGGCCAAGACCGAUUGAUAAUAAAUAAAACUAAGGUUACAUCAUUGUCCGGGAGGUCGUUUGACAACAAAUUGCAUAAGAACCUCCACAUUGGUGUUAAAGGACUUGCAAAAGAAAAUGUCUCCCAUUAGUGACACAUCUAAUAGAAAACCAAUAAAAUUGGAAAUCAUAUACCUGUACCAAUGUUUAAAAGUUUCUUGCAACUUCUAAACUUUGCCAGUGGCAAUACCUUCGUCCCCAUAUCGGAAGGGUUGUACUGGGUGUGGACCUUUUCAAAUCUUACCACCUCUUGAGACACUGUAUCUCUAAUGAAGUGGAGUCUAACAUCAAUGUGUUUAGUGCGCUCUUGAAAAAUGGAAUUCUUGCACAAAUGUAUAGAUGACUGACUAUCAGAGUACACUACCACAUAAUCAUUCAAGACACAUAGUUCAUAAAGUAGGCCUUUAAGCUAUAGAGCUUCUUUAAUAGUUUCAGUGGUAGCAAUAUAUUCUGAUUCUGUAGUGGAUAGUGCAACAAUAUGUUGUAACUGUGAUUUCCAACUUACACAUGAAUUAGAUAAGGUAAACACGUAAGAUGAAGUAGAUUUCCUACCAUCCCUAUCNNNNNNNNNNNNNNNNNNNNNNNNNNNNNNNNNNNNNNNNNNNNNNNNNNNNNNNNNNNNNNNNNNNNNNNNNNGUAGAAAGGCAUGCGGCCGCAUGGUUCCGCCAGACAGCUUUCAGUGUUUUAAUCAUAACUUUCUUUCCCGAUGUCCAAUUGAGGUGAUUCAAGUUGCAUUGGAUAGCUAACUCAAAAGGUCACAAUUUUUAUUCAGAAGUCAUCUCCCAAUUCGAUCAUCUUCCAUGUCAAAAAAUGGGUCCCAACAUGAGACUAAAAACUGGUGUGUUGGUUUUCGAUUGGAAAUUGAUGUAUUGAUCAAAAUUUGAUGUUAUUUCAUUCCUUUGACUUCGUUCCUCAUCCACUUGACCUCUAACACUUUCAAAUCUUCAUCAUAAUCUUGGACACAAGUUUGAAUCAUUUGCACUUUAGUCCUCGAACUUUCGUUCUCUUCUACUUUGGUCAUUUUUCACUUGUUUCUUCCGAAUUUUAUCUUUUUCACCAAAAUGCAACCUAAACUAAAAUAUAAGAGUAAUGAGUGCAUUUUGUCAUAAUAUAAUCACAUGAAUGCAAUAGUUAAGAGGGGAAAAUAUGGUAUUUUACACUCUUAUCAGGUCAGAAAGAUAUUCAGGCAUCAUUUAGUGCAAAGUGUUCAAUGGGAAGACUGAUUUCUCUUAUACAAAUUAGUUAUAUUUUUGUCUGAGUCUUUGUCUCGCGUUUUAAUUCGUAUGUGGCCUUCUCACUUCAUAUGAAUAUAUUGCUUUCAACUAUACUCAGUGCGCAUAUAAUCCUUCACAGGUUUACGCAACAAAAUUUUUUUAACUUGUACCUAUAACAAUUAAUUGUAAGGAUGAGUCCUAUAAAAAAGAAAUAAAUAAAUAAAUAAAAUUGUAGGGAUGAGUAAGUGCGACCAUAUCUGUUUCCUUUUUUGGUUUAUCUCAUCAUAUCACAUUUUGUUCUUUGAGAUCUGAAAUCACUGUCAAUAGAUGGGAAUCUUGCUGAGUGUAUGGGCGUGUGUUUGUAAAACCUAAUAUCAUAGUCUUUCUUUAUCUAAUGCCACAAACUUAAUUGGUUCUUAAUUCUAGGUUGGAGAUCAAUAUCGGAGUAAUGAUGACGGUGAACCAUCUGGUACAGCUGGCAAGCCAAUACAUUCUGCAAUUGUCUCUUCUGGCAUAGAUAGAGUUAUGGUUGUCAUUAUCAGGUACAGGCCCCAGUAUUUCAAUUGAGGAAAGAUGGUGUAAGUUAUUAAAUUCUUUUAUUGAUUAACAUAUUUUAAAGAUGAUCUGGAAACUGCAGUUGCCUGUUUUGCUAGUGGCUGUACUUCUACUCCUUUUAUAGUUGAUAAUCCUUCAUUGUUGUCUCUUGCUCAAAACUUCAGAAUGUCAUUUUAGCUGACCAAAGGUCUGCAAAUAUUUGCUUCAUGCUUCACUUUAUAUGUUUCCUCUAUUUGGUUUAGGUAUUUUGGAGGAAUCAAACUUGGCACUGGAGGAUUAGUUAGAGCAUAUGGAGGAGUAGCUGCCGAAUGUUUGAGGAAUGCCCCGACAUGCCUUGUAAAAUCAAAAGUAAAUUGAUUGUACUUUUGCAUUCUAUUUCUAUUUAGCUCCUUAAAAAUCCAAUAAUUGCAUUUAAAUCACUUUAUGCUUGUAUUUGCUUUCACGCUACCUCACUGAAAGCAUGCUUAUGGGUGCAUAAAUCAAGCAUGAUUCUGUUGUAGGUUCCUAUGGGCUUGGAGGUUUCAUUUGAUCUUUUGGGAGUACUCUACCAUCAAGUAAGAUUCAAAUUGUUGAAAUUACUUAACUUUAUAUUAUUUCUAAUUAUAAUUUUUGCUAGCUACUCUUUCGACAAUUCUCAUUUUGACAUCUUUAGGCUUCAUACUAGUCAAAAGAAAAACUGAAAUGCCCUUUUGGUUUGACCAAGUGACAAAAAUGUUUAAUUUUUCCAUCCAGAUAUAAUAAGCAAAGACGAAAAGAUAAUGCUGCCUAUCUAUUUCUCAAAUUAAUCAAACUUUGUCUACUUCCCUUCUAUAUAUCCCACUCUGAUUGAUCUGCUGCGUUGAUAUUCUCCCAUAUUAGUGUCAAUGUUCUGUUUUUUCUUAUCUGAUACACUAUCAGCAUGGUGUGUACCAUCUUACUUGUUUUUUCAUUGAAGGACAUUUUGGACUUAUUUCCUUCGAGUCUUGAAGGGGAGAUUUUUUAUGUAACUGGAAGGAAUAUGUAAUGGUUGCAGUUUAGAUCAAAUAAUUGAGGGACUAAUCUUUAGAUUUUGAAACCAUAAACAGUUACUUUUAAUGUAAUUAAGCCUAAUGUUCAAUGGGAAUGAAAUGCCUUUUUAAGUUCUAAUAAAUUUAAUAAGAUAAGGAAUUUGUUGUGAUGAACAAGAUAGAAUCUAAUUUGUAGAAUUAAUAGAACCACGAGCAUGAUUUAGCCUAUCCUAGCGCAAUCUUGACAUUCAAAGACUGAGAUUUAGAAAUUUCUUGGUUUCCUUAGAGCGACCUAUCCUAGUCGGAACAUUUGAAUCAUAAUCUGUGACCUAGGUUAUUUCAGUAACAUCUUUUAUAAAUUGAACUUAUUGCUUCUUAGAUUUUUUUUGUUUUUGUUUUUUUUGUUUUUGUUUUUGUUUUUUUUAAAUAUUUUAUUCCUUCUUAGUUAAGAAGAAUGGUUACAUAACUCCAUCUUAUACUUGUUGACUUGCAGCUACAAUCUUUUCAAGUCGAGGACAUCAAGCAGGACUAUGAUACUGGAAAAGACAAUGUUACAAUGGUCACUUUCAAAGUUGAUUUUGAUCGGGUACAAAGUUUGGAAGAAGCUAUCAAGGUAAGUUGUAGCCGUGAUAUUGUGUUUUAUAAGCAUUGAAACGCUCGUGUUUUUGGUUUUCCUUUUGGAAACAUAGGGAUCUUCAAAGCUUUCAAGCUCAGCAGAAUGAAUUACAAUUUUAAGAUAAGAGGCAAAUUUCAUCUUUUCUGCAACCUGUUCUUUGCUUAAUGCUACAGUGUUAACAUAUAUCGCGUGGAUCGAUGAUGCAUGUAUGAUAUUAAACUGAUGAGAACAGGUUGUUGCACAUAUUGUUGAUGUACACAAUAAGUUCUAUUUGUAGUGAAAAUUUACACCUGAC